Molecule: ribosomal RNA, 497 nt
Filed under: uncultured bacterium
Lineage: Bacteria
Description: partial 16S ribosomal RNA
Rfam family: Bacterial small subunit ribosomal RNA
Source: RNAcentral
GAUGAACGCUGGCGGCGUGCCUAAUACAUGCAAGUCGAGCGAACAGACGAGGAGCUUGCUCCUCUGACGUUAGCGGCGGACGUGUGAGUAACACGUGGAUAACCUACCUAUAAGACUGGGAUAACUUCGGGAAACCGGCGCUAAUACCGGAUAAUAUAUUGAACCGCAUGGUUCAAUAGUGAAAUACGGUUUUUCUGUCACUUAUAGAUGGAUCCGCGCCGCAUUAGCUAGUUGGUAAGGUAACGGCUUACCAAGGCAACGAUGCGUAGCCGACCUGAGAGGGUGAUCGGCCACACUGGAACUGAGACACGGUCCAGACUCCUACGGGAGGCAGCAGUAGGGAAUCUUACGCAAUGGGCGAAAGCCUGACGGAGCAACGCCGCGUGAGUGAUGAAGGUCUUCGGAUCGUAAAACUCUGUUAUUAGGGAAGAACAAAUGUGUAAGUAACUAUGCACGUCUUGACGGUACCUAAUCAGAAAGCCACGGCUAACUACGUG